GCGGCCUAUCAGCUUGUUGGUGGGGUAAUGACCUACCAAGGCAACGACGGGUAGCUGGUCUGAGAGGAUGGUCAGCCACACUGGGACUGAGACACGGCCCAGACUCCUACGGGAGGCAGCAGUGGGGAAUCUUGCGCAAUGGGCGAAAGCCUGACGCAGCAACGCCGCGUGCGGGAAGAAGGCUUUCGGGCUGUAAACCGCUUUCAGCAGGAACGAAAAUGACGGUACCUGCAGAAGAAGGAGCGGCCAACUACGUGCCAGCAGCCGCGGUGACACGUAGGCUCCAAGCGUUGUCCGGAUUUAUUGGGCGUAAAGAGCUCGUAGGCGGUUUAGUAAGUCGGGUGUUAAAACUCUGGGCUCAACCCGGAGACGCCAUCCGAUACUACUAUAACUUGAGUUCAGGAGGGGAGACUGGAAUUCCU
This 422-nucleotide ribosomal RNA is filed under the name uncultured Actinomycetes bacterium. RNAcentral describes it as "bacterial SSU rRNA". It matches the Rfam family "Bacterial small subunit ribosomal RNA", at positions 233 to 671 of the family's 1533-position model. Lineage: Bacteria; Bacillati; Actinomycetota; Actinomycetes. The record is from RNAcentral.